RNA transcript from Cavia porcellus (domestic guinea pig), 1900 nucleotides. It is a transcript of the gene named selectin L, with no coding region annotated. Lineage: Eukaryota; Metazoa; Chordata; Mammalia; Rodentia; Caviidae. The record is from RefSeq and is a predicted model, not a curated record. The transcript has 9 exons.
GAGAAAUGAAAACAAGCACAUCUUGUGGGUGGCACUUGGGACAAUCUUCCUGAAGCACAGCAGCUCCCCUGCACAGGGACCCAGACCCCCCAGAGGCUGAGCAGAGAGAGCUGCAAGGCUGCAGAGACACUGGAGAAGAACCAAGCAAAGCCAUGAUAUUUCCAUGGAAAUGUCAGAGCUCUCCAAUUGGCUUAUGGAAGAUCUUCAAGUUGUGGAUCUGGGCAGUGUUCUGUUGUGAUUUCCUGGUACAUCAUGGAACUCACUGUUGGACUUACCAUUAUUCCAAAAAUUCCAUGAUAUGGGACAGGGCUAGGAAAUUCUGCCAGGCAAAUUACACGGAUUUAGUUGCCAUCCAAAACAAAGAAGAGAUCGAGUACUUGGAGAAGACACUGCCCUUCAACCAGAAUUACUACUGGAUAGGCAUUCGGAAGAUAGGGAAUAAGUGGAUAUGGGUGGGAACCAGAAAGCCUCUCACUAAGGAAGCAGAGAACUGGGGAGCCGGGGAGCCCAACAACAAGAAGUCCAAGGAAGACUGCGUAGAGAUCUACAUCAAGAGGCUCAAAGACUCGGGAAAGUGGAAUGAUGACUCCUGCCACAAAAAGAAGGCAGCACUGUGCUACACAGCUUCUUGCACACCAAGCUCCUGCGGUGACCACGGAGAAUGUGUGGAAGUCAUCAAUAAUUACACUUGCAACUGUGAGGUGGGAUAUUAUGGGCCCCAGUGCCAGUUUGUGGUCCAGUGUCCACCUCUGGAGGCCCCAGAACUGGGUACCAUGAAGUGUACUCACCCUCUGGGAAAAUUCACCUUUAGCUCACAUUGUGCCUUUCACUGCUCUAAUGGAACAAACCUAAUCGGGAUGGAAGAAACAACUUGUGGACCAUCUGGAAACUGGUCAUCUCUAGAGCCAGCCUGUCAAGCAAUUCAGUGUGAACCUUUAAUAGCACCUGAUUUGGGGACCAUGGACUGUAGCCACCCUCUGGGCAACUUCAGCUUUACCUCUGUGUGUACCUUCAGUUGUUCAGAAGGAACUCAGCUAAUUGGAGAGAAUAAUGCUACUUGUGGACCAUUUGGAAUGUGGUCUGGUCAUAGUCCAGUAUGUCAAAAAUUGGACCAAAGUUUCUCAAAGAUCAAGGAAGGUGACUAUAACCCCCUUUUCAUCCCAGUGGCAGUCAUGGUCACUGCGUUUUCCGGGCUCGCCUUUAUCAUCUGGCUGGCAAGGCGACUAAGGAAGAGUAUGUGAAUUUAACUUCAUAUGAAAAUAAACCAACUUUAAAGUGAGAAAAGAAAGAAGCCCACAGGAAAUUAGGAAAGAGAGCUCAGAAAAGAGUGGAUGGCCCAUACUAAUCCGCCCUGUGUGAAAGAAAGCUCUGAAGAUACUAAAGAUAAUUGGAAAAUGACUUCAAAUUCCUCCAUGAAGAGCUUUGUGAGGUGGUGUCUCCUACAUCACAGAUGAAGUGUGUGUCCUACAGUGUAUCUGGAAGGAUGUCUACGUGAUCAACAGCCCCUUCUGCUCCUGUUUUGCCCCAAUCACUCCCACCCCUGACCCACAGUUGCUGUUUAUAUAGCUCAACUUAUGCUAUCUUUUCUGUAGCGAAACAAGACUGGGGUGGGGUGGGGACAGAUAAAUACAUCUGAUUGUGCUCGUUCCUGUCUCUUAUUUCCUAUUUCAAUUCAAUGUGGUACAUGACAAUACUUCUAAAUACAGUGAUAAGUUGAUGCAUUUUUCUUGCAGAUCAAACUUUAUCUCCCUGUUUUUUUGUAUACUAUUUUACAGAAAAUUCCUAAAGUUGAUGUUAUCCUGCCCUUCCAAUUUGGGGAAUUAAUCGGGUCUUGCUCAAGUUAGGAAAGUCCUGUCUGCUCUGUACUCCCCCUCUGUAAAUAAAGGUCGUCUUGUAACUA